GUGCCUAAUACAUGCAAGUCGAGCGUGAGUCUUGAGGGAGCUUGCUCCCGAGAGGCUUAGCGGCGGACGGGUGAGUAACACGUAGGCAACCUGCCUGUAAGCCCGGGAUAACCCACGGAAACGUGAGCUAAUACCGGAUACGCGAAUUUGACGCCUGUCGGAUUCGGGAAAGACGGAGCAAUCUGUCACUUACAGAUGGGCCUGCGGCGCAUUAGCUAGUUGGUGGGGUAACGGCUCACCAAGGCGACGAUGUGUAGCCGACCUGAGAGGGUGAACGGCCACACUGGGACUGAGACACGGCCCAGACUCCUACGGGAGGCAGCAGUAGGGAAUCUUCCGCAAUGGACGAAAGUCUGACGGAGCAACGCCGCGUGAGUGAUGAAGGUUUUCGGAUCGUAAAGCUCUGUUGCCAGGGAAGAAUAGCGUCAUGUUCACUGCAUGACGUGUGACGGUACCUGAGAAGAAAGCCCCGGCUAACUACGUGCCAGCAGCCGCGGUAAUACGUAGGGGGCAAGCGUGUCCGGAAUUAUUGGGCGUAAAGCGCGCGCAGGCGGCUUCUUA
Molecule: ribosomal RNA, 561 nt
Filed under: uncultured bacterium
Lineage: Bacteria
Description: bacterial SSU rRNA
Rfam family: Bacterial small subunit ribosomal RNA
Source: RNAcentral